RNAcentral lists this ribosomal RNA (200 nucleotides) under uncultured eukaryote. RNAcentral's name for it is "partial 18S ribosomal RNA". It matches the Rfam family "Eukaryotic small subunit ribosomal RNA", at positions 588 to 795 of the family's 1831-position model. The record is from RNAcentral.
GCUCCAAUAGCGUAUAUUAAAGUUGUUGCGGUUAAAAAGCUCGUAGUUGGAUUUCUGUUGAGGAAGGUCGGUCUGCACUUUGUGCAUGAUCUGAUUCUGCCUCGGCAUCCUCGCGGGGAACAUGCUGCGCUUGAUUGCGUGGUAUGGUAUUCGCGACUUUUACUUUGAGGAAAUUAGAGUGUUCACGGCAGGCAAUCGCC